AACGACUCUCGGCAACGGAUAUCUCGGCUCUCGCAUCGAUGAAGAACGUAGCGAAAUGGGAUACUUGGUGUGAAUUGCAGAAUACCGUGAACCAUAGAGUCUUUGAACGCAAGUUGCGCCCCAAGCCUUCUGGCCGAGGGCACGUCUGCCUGGGUGUCACAAA
This 163-nucleotide ribosomal RNA is filed under the name Stenodraba colchaguensis. RNAcentral describes it as "Weberbauera colchaguensis 5.8S ribosomal RNA". It matches the Rfam family "5.8S ribosomal RNA". Rfam says of the family: 5.8S ribosomal RNA (5.8S rRNA) is a component of the large subunit of the eukaryotic ribosome. It is transcribed by RNA polymerase I as part of the 45S precursor that also contains 18S and 28S rRNA. The record is from RNAcentral. Lineage: Eukaryota; Viridiplantae; Streptophyta; Magnoliopsida; Brassicales; Brassicaceae.